Camellia sinensis is the source of this 196-nucleotide non-coding RNA. The record is from RefSeq and is a predicted model, not a curated record. NCBI's taxonomy places the organism in Eukaryota, Viridiplantae, Streptophyta, Magnoliopsida, Ericales, Theaceae.
AGAUAUUCGACAAUGAGUAAAGCUCUCCUUAAAACUGGACGACCCAUUUUCUUUUCCCUAUGUGAAUGGGGCCAAGAAAACCCAGCGACUUGGGCAGCUAGCAUAGGAAAUAGUUGGAGAACAACUGGAGACAUUAAAGACACUUGGAAGAGUAUGACUUCACGUGCUGACGAAAAUGAUGUCUGGGCAUCUUAUG